AUAACGAAGCCGCAUGACUUUGUUAUCAAAGAUUUAUUGCCGGAAGAUGAGCUCGCGUCUGAUUAGGUAGUUGGUGAGGUAACGGCUCACCAAGCCGACGAUCAGUAGCCGGACUGAGAGGUUGAACGGCCACAUUGGGACUGAGACACGGCCCAGAYUCCUACGGGAGGCAGCAGUGGGGAAUAUUGCACAAUGGGCGAAAGCCUGAUGCAGCGAUGCCGCGUGAGGGAAGAAGGUUUUAGGAUUGUAAACCUCUGUCUUUGGGGACGAUAAUGACGGUACCCAAGGAGGAAGCUCCGGCUAACUACGUGCCGGCAGCCGCGGUAAUACGUAGGGAGCGAGCGUUGUCCGGAAUUACUGGGUGUAAAGGGAGCGUAGGCGGGAUGCAAGUCAGGUGUGAAAUUUAGGGGCUUAACCCCUGAACUGCACUUGAAACUGUAGUUCUUGAGUGAAGUAGAGGUAAGCGGAAUUCCUAGUGUAGCGGUGAAAUGCGUAGAUAUUAGGAGGAACAUCAGUGGCGAAGGCGGCUUACUGGGCUUUAACUGACGCUGAGGCUCGAAAGCGUGGGGAGCAAACAGGAUUAGAUACCCUGGUAGUCCACCCGUAAACGAUGAUUACUAGGUGUGGGGGGACUGACCCCUUCCGUGCCGCAGUUAACACAAUAAGUAAUCCACCUGGGGAGUACGGCCGCAAGGCUGAAACUCAAAGGAAUUGACGGGGGCCCGCACAAGCAGUGGAGUAUGUGGUUUAAUUCGAAGCAACGCGAAGAACCUUACCAGGUCUUGACAUCGUACGCAUAGCAUAGAGAUAUGUGAAAUCCCUUCGGGGACGUAUAGACAGGUGUAGACAGGUGGUGCAUGGUUGUCGUCAGCUCGUGUCGUGAGAUGUUGGGUUAAGUCCCGCACCCUUACUGUUAGUUGCUACGCAAAAGCGCUCUAGCAGGACUGCCGUUGACAAAACGGAGGAAGGUGGGGAUGACGUCAAAUCAUCAUGCCCCUUAUGAC
This 1004-nucleotide ribosomal RNA is filed under the name Hominimerdicola alba. RNAcentral describes it as "bacterial SSU rRNA". It matches the Rfam family "Bacterial small subunit ribosomal RNA", at positions 173 to 1208 of the family's 1533-position model. Lineage: Bacteria; Bacillati; Bacillota; Clostridia; Eubacteriales; Oscillospiraceae. The record is from RNAcentral.